AUAUUCAAAAAAGAAACUUUAAUUAAUUAGAAAUUCACAAUAAUAAUAAUAAUAAUAAAAAAACAAUAUAAAUUUUUCUAACACUCCUUGCAGAAGCCUAGCCGACUAAAAACCUAGCAAAAAGAAGACAACAGGAAUUGAAAAGACCUCGUCACCUAAAGUCGUAGUUGCCGACAACCUCCCUUCCACGUGGUAUCGUCGAAUUUUAAUCAAAGCAAUCCACGAAAACAAAGCUCUGGCCACCCACGAUCAUAACCCAGCGUUUCCACAACUGCCGAGCACCACCCACAGCAGCAGCAGCAGUCCCUAGUCGCCUCUAAUCGAACCGUUUCUUGUAGGAAUGGGCAGGAAACUAGCGAAACAACCACCUUUCCUCGCCUCAAUCUCAUUGUCCAGGUGGAGAUGAUUUACAUCGCCGGUGUAGGCAACAAGAAGGAGAAGACGAGCAGUCGAUUUGCAAGUCCACCUUCUUACAUCACCGAUGCAUGCAAUAACGCGCCUCGAUCCAGCUAGUCUCUCCAUGCCUGUAGCCCAUGUCCCAUCAGCGUUUGGAAACGUGGUUAUACUUCUUUUAUUUUUUUAAAUUGUUUUGAUUAAUAUAUUUUGGAUGAAAAAUACUUUGAAAAGCAAUCGCAACUACACUCCCAAAUAAAUACUCGUG
RNAcentral lists this long non-coding RNA (661 nucleotides) under Populus trichocarpa (black cottonwood). Its description in RNAcentral is "long non-coding RNA (PTRI_LNC003976)". The record is from RNAcentral. Lineage: Eukaryota; Viridiplantae; Streptophyta; Magnoliopsida; Malpighiales; Salicaceae.